GCGCACUUAACUGCUACACCACCAGGCCGGCCCCCCUUCUCCCCCUUUUGCUCUAUAAAACCAAGCUCCCCUCUUUUGUUCUCCAGAUUUGCCUAUGGUUCACCAUAGUAUGCACAUCCCAAAUUGCAAUUCUUUUGGUUAUUCCUGAAUAAGCUCGUUGGAGAGUAAAAUAACAGGUGAGUUUGCUUUUUAAGUUGACAACUCUGUGUUUGGUUUUGGAGGUAGAGCUAUCCAGGUGUCACUACAGAAAUGGACGAUUAAACUGGAGUUGAGAUGGAGAAAUUAGAAUAGGAUAUGUCAAGGAGCUGUGAAGUUUGGAUGCAUUAGGUCAUCAGGGGGGAUAAUGAAGGCUUUCAAGAUGAAAAGGGGAAAGGAAAACAGUUGGUACCAAAGUCUUCAGUGAAUGUAGGAGAGAGACCUGGAAGUCGACAUUCAACAUUUGAGAGGGUGAUAAAAGUGAGUAGUGUGAACUUUGAAGAAAGAAGGGCCGUUGAGGGAAGAUGGUAAAAUAAUACUUUAAGGAUCCAAUGAAGAAGAUAUGAGAAGAUGGUGACCUGAUCUUGACUUAUGGAAAAGGGUGAGUAAAAGAAAGUGAGCAGCCUCCAACUAAGAGUUUUGCAAGGGAAACAGAAUUUGGGACACCCAGAGUUAAAGAGAGGAGAUAGAGGCUGAAUGGAUGAGCAAGGCCAAAGGCAAGAAAGUUUUAGGAAAUGGUGGAUAGUCCUUUCUUUUUUUUUUGUAAGCAAAGGGUGCAAUUAGGGGUGUAAUAGAAGAUAAUAUUGGAAUCUAUGUGAUUAGUUUGAAUCUAGAAUAUAACAGAAUCAUUAUAGUUAAAAUAUUAAUUAGGUGGUGUACUAAGGAAACCUUUUGAAGUUAUUUUGUUUAGAUCUUAGGGAAAUUUUGGAACUGGUAUUGGUAACUGGGAAGCAGUUUGACAGCUUUGGAAUACUUGGACUAUGACAAAUGUAAAAUUGGUGUAUAUUUGAUGUUAUUAAUGCCAUCAUUGGAACUGAAGUUGACAAUAGAUCAUAAUUUUGGUAGGAAUGUGGCCAGUAGACUGUGAUAAAUUUUGGUCUUUUUGUAAUUAGAAAAUUGGAGCUUUAAAAAUGUGUUGACUUUUUGGAAUAAUCUUUUUCUAUUCUUUUCCAGAACCAUCUGCAACCCACAAUAUAUAAAAGACUGUGUAAGAUCUACUUUAGUGUGAGGGUUUUGAUCUCAAAUGCCCUGACUCUGUUUGAUAUGAUUGUACCUCUGUAUAAGUAGGAUAUGUAGCUAGAAGCAUAGGAGAAGAGAAAAUGUGAAACAAAAAUGAGACUGAAUUGGAGACGUAGAGCUCCAGUUAUGAAAACCUUAAGAAGAUUAACUGCUGUGAUAGUAAUCUGGUAGAUUUUCAGUUCUGGCUAUCAUUUAUUAUGAACUGAAAGAACAGUGAAAUAAUUAGAUACUGAGGUGCGUAAUUGCUGGCAAUAGGGUGGAGGAGGAGAGUUGGUUAAUUGGCAAUGAGCCUUAUAGCUGUUUUUAUAUUAAUGCUGUCUAUUUGGUAUUGGUGGAUAACAGCAGAAAAAUUAUUUAUGGUCAUGCUGGGGACUUACUACAUUGAUUUCUACUCUAAUAACAUGAAAGAGUUUAAUGGUUACUCUUAUAGAUGUAAUAUUUCUUUUUUUUGUCAUUCUAGCAGCCAUCAGAAAAGAGACCACAAAAAAGCUAUUGCCUGUACAGUCCUGUUCAUCAUUUGUGACCUGAGAUAUUGAGCUCUUGGGUUGUCAGAAUUCCAGUUCAUGAGGCAGUCUGUGUCAUUCUGGUCUAGCCAGAGAGGUGAACGGAGUGGUAUGGGAGCAGAGAGGAUGGAGCAGUCGCUUGUGUGUGAUACACAUUGUCUGGAGCACGGUGGUUAAAGGUUCAGGCUUUGAAGGUGACCAGGGUGAUGUCUAAAAGAAGGCAGGAAGCUGUAGUAACACGCAAAGCAGACUUGCCUUUAGGGAAUGUUCUCCUUGGCUCUAGAUUCCAGACUUCAAUCUUUUCAUUCAACUUACAUUUUAUGAGUGCUUAUGCCAGGAAGGUUGCCCCUGAGCUGACAUCUGUGCCCAUCUUCUUCUAUUUUAUGUGGGAUGCUGCCACAGGGAUGGCUUGAUGACCAGUGCUAGGUCCCAGUGCACCUGGGAUCCGAACCUGUGAACCCGGGGCCACUGAAGCAGAGCGUGCAAAGUUAAUCACUACACCGCCGGGCUGGCCUCAAUCUCUGUCUUUUAAUUUGGUGUAUUUGGACCAUUUUCAUUUGAGGACCAUCCAGAAUACCACCUUACAUUUAGUCAUCAUGUCUCCUUGGGCUCCUCUUGGCUAUGACAGUUUCUCAGACUUUUAUUGCUUUUGAUCAGCUUGAUAACUUUGAAGAGCACUGGUCAGCUAUUUUGUAGAAAAUCCCUCUAUUGGAAUUUGUCCGAUUCAUGAUUAAACUGGGGUUAUGGGUUUUGGGGAGGAAGACCACAGAAGUGAAAAUACCAUUUUCAUCACAUCAUAUCAAGAGUACAUACUAGCAAAGAUGUUACUUUUGAUGUUCACCUUGAACACCUGGCUGAUGUGUUUGUUAGAUUUCUCCACAGUCAAGUUACUCUUUGAUCUCCUUUUCCAUCUCGUACUCUUGGAAGUCACUGUAUGCACCCAAACUUAAAGAAUAAAGUUACGCUCCCCCUCCUUGAGAGCAAAGUAUCUACAUGAAUUAUUUAGAAUUUUGCAUAGCAGAUUUGUCUCUUUUCCCCAUGAAUGUAUUUAUCUAUCAGUCCAAUCAAUCAAUCAUUUGUUUAUAUCAGUAUAGACUCAUGGAUAUUUAUUUUGUACCUUGGGUUAUAACCCGAUACCACUUUACUGUAUUGCUCAAAUUGUUCUAGCUUUGGCCACUGGGAGCUCUUUUAGUUGGCUUCUGUGUCCCUUUGUCAUUCCACUAUCA
Molecule: long non-coding RNA, 2944 nt
Organism: Equus quagga
Lineage: Eukaryota; Metazoa; Chordata; Mammalia; Perissodactyla; Equidae
Exons: 5
Source: RefSeq, a predicted model, not a curated record